GACCUCGGAUCAGGUAGGGAUACCCGCUGAACUUAAGCAUAUCAAUAAAGCGGAG
This 55-nucleotide ribosomal RNA is filed under the name Neofusicoccum parvum. Its description in RNAcentral is "partial 28S ribosomal RNA". Lineage: Eukaryota; Fungi; Ascomycota; Dothideomycetes; Botryosphaeriales; Botryosphaeriaceae. The record is from RNAcentral.